Molecule: long non-coding RNA, 620 nt
Filed under: Rattus norvegicus (Norway rat)
Lineage: Eukaryota; Metazoa; Chordata; Mammalia; Rodentia; Muridae
Description: long non-coding RNA NONRATT022078
Source: RNAcentral
GCCCUUUAUUGGUUGUCCAAUACAGUGAUUACCCUUGAAAUCAUAUGCAUACUAUUAACAAAAACAUUCAGUGUAUAUAUGUAUAAUGUUUGCGUAUAUAUACAUUAUAUAACAAUGCAUGUAUGUAGCAAUAAUAAAAAAGGUUAUCAACUUGAGAAUGGGGGUGUGGGAGGAACUGGAGGGGAAAGUGACAUAAUUUCUAUUUUAAUUAAAACCAUUAAAAAAUUUAAAAGCCUAUUAAAUACAUAUAGAAUUUUUUGUUGUAACAGUUAUUUGUAUGUGUCCACAUGUCCACAACACACAUAUGGCAGACAGAGGACAACUUGCAAGAGUCCGUUCUCUCUACCAUUGUGGCUUCUGGCAAUCAAACUACGUUAUUUCAUAUUUUGAGUUACUGAUGUUUUUAUGAGAAAAUAUUUAACUUCUCACACUUCUUUCUAACUCAAGGUCUUAUUCCAAUAUGUUUUCCUAGUCAAUAUGAAUUUGGUCAGUUAUUAUUUGUCUAAUGUGUCAAGUAUAAGAAUAACAUUUUGAGUGUCAGCCGUGGAGAACUCUUAACCCAUUUCUACCCAUUUGUGGUGUAUUUUAGUCAUUUACAGGUGGAGGGUACAGACUGGGCA